GACAGAGGUGGCAAGCGUUGUUCGGAUUUAUUGGGUGUAAAGGGCAGGUAGGCGGCCUCGCAAGUCUGAUGUGAAAUCCCACGGCUCAACCGUGGAACUGCAUUGGAAACUGCUUGGCUUGAGUGUCGGAGAGGUGAGGGGAAUUCUCGGUGUAAGGGUGAAAUCUGUAGAUAUCGAGAGGAAUACCAGUGGCGAAGGCGCCUCACUGGCCAAACACUGACGCUGAACUGCGAAAGCAAGGGGAG
RNAcentral lists this ribosomal RNA (245 nucleotides) under uncultured bacterium. RNAcentral's name for it is "partial 16S ribosomal RNA". It matches the Rfam family "Bacterial small subunit ribosomal RNA", at positions 524 to 768 of the family's 1533-position model. The record is from RNAcentral.